Molecule: ribosomal RNA, 320 nt
Filed under: uncultured bacterium
Lineage: Bacteria
Description: bacterial SSU rRNA
Rfam family: Bacterial small subunit ribosomal RNA
Source: RNAcentral
ACGACGUCAAGUCAUCAUGGCCCUUACGACCAGGGCUACACACGUGCUACAAUGGUAGGUACAGAGGGCAGCUACACAGCGAUGUGAUGCGAAUCUCAAAAAGCCUAUCGUAGUCCAGAUUGGAGUCUGCAACUCGACUCCAUGAAGUAGGAAUCGCUAGUAAUCGCGGAUCAGAAUGCCGCGGUGAAUACGUUCCCGGGCCUUGUACACACCGCCCGUCACACCAUGGGAGUUGAUUGCACCAGAAGUGGAUAGCUUAACCUUCGGGGAGGCGUUCACCACGGUGUGGUUGAUGACUAGGGUGAAGUCGUAACAAGGUA